GAUGAACGCUGGCGGCGUGCCUAAUACAUGCAAGUCGAGCGAACGGACGAGAAGCUUGCUUCUCUGAUGUUAGCGGCGGACGGGUGAGUAACACGUGGAUAACCUACCUAUAAGACUGGGAUAACUUCGGGAAACCGGAGCUAAUACCGGAUAAUAUAUUGAACCGCAUGGUUCAAAAGUGAAAGACGGUCUUGCUGUCACUUAUAGAUGGAUCCGCGCUGCAUUAGCUAGUUGGUAAGGUAACGGCUUACCAAGGCAACGAUGCAUAGCCGACCUGAGAGGGUGAUCGGCCACACUGGAACUGAGACACGGUCCAGACUCCUACGGGAGGCAGCAGUAGGGAAUCUUCCGCAAUGGGCGAAGGCCUGACGGAGCAACGCCGCGUGAGUGAUGAAGGUCUUCGGAUCGUAAAACUCUGUUAUUAGGGAAGAACAUAUGUGUAAGUAACUGUGAACAUCUUGACGGUACCUAAUCAGAAAGCCACGGCUAACUACGUG
RNAcentral lists this ribosomal RNA (497 nucleotides) under uncultured bacterium. RNAcentral's name for it is "partial 16S ribosomal RNA". It matches the Rfam family "Bacterial small subunit ribosomal RNA", at positions 28 to 507 of the family's 1533-position model. The record is from RNAcentral.